This 468-nucleotide ribosomal RNA is filed under the name uncultured bacterium. Its description in RNAcentral is "partial 16S ribosomal RNA". It matches the Rfam family "Bacterial small subunit ribosomal RNA", at positions 28 to 507 of the family's 1533-position model. The record is from RNAcentral.
GACGAACGCUGGCGGCGUGCUUAACACAUGCAAGUCGAACGGAAAGGCCCUGCUUGUGUUGGGUGCUCGAGUGGCGAACGUGUGAGAAACACGGGAGUAACCUGCCCUUUACGUGGGGAUAACUUCAGGGAACUGCGGCUAAUACCUGCUAGGUGCUCCUGCUGCAGGGUGGGGGCUGGAACGUUUCGGUGGGAGGGGCUGGACUCGCGGCUUAUCAGCUUGUUGGGUGGGUACUGGCAUACCAAGGCAUUGACGGGUAGCCUGCAUGAGAGGGUGACCGGCGACCUGAGGACUGAGAUAGGGCGCAGACUGCAACGGGAGGCAGCGGUGGGGAAUAUUGCACAGUGGGCGGACGCCUGAUGCGGAAACGCUGCGUGCGGGAUGACGGUCUGCGGGUUGUGAACCGCUUUCGCUUAUGACGAAGCGUGAGUGACGGUAAUGGGAAAAGAAGCACCGGCUAACUACGUG